AUCCUCCCCCAGAAAUGCAUUGGAGGAAUUCAUAGCAGGAUUCAGAAACCUUCCACCAACAACCUUGCUACUCAAAAUAUCACAAAUGUCAGGGAUUCUUGAAGUCCCACCCCAACGCAGAAUCCUUAUUUCUUGCAAGCGAACUAGUAGAAAACUAAAUGAAUCAGUAGAAGCUCGCCCCAAAAGGAAAAGAAAAUAGCCUUGAAAUUACCCCAAAAUUCAAAGAAAAGUUGCAGUUCAGUAGCUAAACAUGAAAGAUCCUUCAUAAUCACUGUUCAAAACCUCCAAAACCCCACCAGAACACAACGAAAAGGAUACCCAUAUGAGGUUUCUGAGCCUGCCCCAAAUGGGUUUAGCUAAAAGAGAAAAAGAAAGAAGAAUCUGUCAAAAAGAAUCAGAUCUCAGAGAACCACAGGGCUGGAAAGCAACAAAAUGAACCCGAAAACUAUGAACCCUAUGUGAAUCAUUAAAAGGAAAAGGAAGAAAUCAAGAACAAAAAAGGAAGCAAUAAGCUGAAUCCAAAGAAAGUCC
Cucurbita moschata (crookneck pumpkin) is the source of this 531-nucleotide long non-coding RNA. RefSeq lists it as uncharacterized. NCBI's taxonomy places the organism in Eukaryota, Viridiplantae, Streptophyta, Magnoliopsida, Cucurbitales, Cucurbitaceae. The transcript has 3 exons. The record is from RefSeq and is a predicted model, not a curated record.